Molecule: non-coding RNA, 707 nt
Organism: Pelobates cultripes (western spadefoot toad)
Lineage: Eukaryota; Metazoa; Chordata; Amphibia; Anura; Pelobatidae
Source: the annotation of a GenBank genome assembly
GUUUGCCACACCUUAUGUAAUUCAAUUUCUCAAUUUCAGGGAGACUAAAAGGAAGGAGGUGCUAUUUCAGUGAAGGAGGAGGCUUAGUUGGUGAAGGAGGAGUACUUAGUAAAGGAUGAGGUCUUGUUAGCUAUGGAGGAUAUUUUCGUGUUGAAUGUAUUAGUGAGGGAGGGAUUUAUUGGUGAAGGAGGAGGUUUUAUUAUUGAAGGAGGUGAUAUAUGUGUUAAAUGAGGAGGUUUGGUUGGUGAAGGAGGUGCUAUCAUUAUUUAAGGAGGAGGUUUUGUUAUUUUAAGAGGUAUUAUACCUGUAUGUGGUGAAGGAGAGGAGGUAUUAUAUGAGAAGGAUGUGUUAUAAUUAUUGAGGGUGGUGGUUUUGUUAGUGAAGGAGGUGCUAUGUGUGUUGAAGGAGGUACUAUAGUUAGUUAAGGAGGAGGUUUUGGCAGUGAAGGUGGUGUUUUAUGUCUAGAAGGUGGGGGUUUAUUAUUGAAGGAGGAGGUUUUGUUGAUGAAGGGGGUGCUGUAUUAGUAAAGGAGGAGGUUUUGUUGAGGAAGGGGGUGCUGUAUUAGUGAAGGAGGAGGUUUUGUUGAGGAAGGGGGUGCUGUAUUAAUGAAGGAGGAGGGUUUGUUGAUGAAGGGGUGCUGUAUUAGUAAAGGAGGAGGUUUUGUUGAGGAAGGGGGUGCUGUAUUAGUGAAGGAGGAGGGUUUGUUG